AGCACAGACUGCGGACACCCAACAUGGACCAUGGGCAUCACCACAGCCCAUAGCAUGGAUCGCAGAUACCAACAUGAUCUCCAGGAGCAGUACAGACCAUCAAGAUACAGUUGAAUCAGAGGUUAGCCGUGUGCAACCUGAAAACCGCCUAACCUUCAAUGAAGUGUCUCUUUGUUCCUGCAUUCUUCUCCUUUGCAGACACAACAAAAAGCAAAGCAGACAAGUUGGUUAAAGCCGGGCCAGGUAUCAUUCACUGCAUUACUGUACAACGAUCCCUUUACAGUCUGCAUGGUUCAGAGUUUCUCUGUUUCCCCCCUUCAAGUCACAGCCAGCUUUGCAAGAAAAAUAUUAAGAGAGAAUAUAACGCUGCACAGUCCUCUUCAGUCAAGCCAAAAUGCCUGGAAUCUCUGAAUAUUAUGUUUAGGAAAGCAGCGUGGGCAACUUCCUGGACCGUGAUGGAGAAAACUUUCAGACCGCCGCCUUUCCAGAAAUUCACAAACUGACAAAAUGCUUCCAUUUCUUAUUCAAGGGCUGUGGCUUUUAAUUAAAGUUUACACCAACUUGUACCCAGCUCCACAGAAGCAUUUGGGACCCCAGUAUUUGAGCAUGUUAUGCUGUGAUUUCUUUAUCCAGUUCUUUGCUUAAUUUUUAAAUGUAAUAACCACCAGAGGGCGAAAGAGAUUACAUUUCAAAGGACUUAAAGGCCUGUUUCAGCCAGUAGUAACCCAAUCAAUGUUGGUAAGCAUUCCCACAGGAUGAAAACCCAAGGCUGAGCACUCAGCCUGACAUACGCCUUUCAUCUUGUUGUGUUUUUUGCUUCCCUUAGAAAUUAAACACCGACAAGCCAAAUCAUCCCAUUAGAACUUGGGUUACAGAUCUAAACAGAGAGUUCUCAACAGAGGAACGCAGAGAGCUGAGAAACACUUAAAUGCUCAACAUCCUUUGAGAAUACAACUUCUUUGAGAUUCCAUACACCUGUCAGAAUGGCUAAGAUCCACUCUUGCUCUGUACGGAUGAUUAUUUCUUAUGGUUGUCAAACAGAUUUGCUAGUCUAUUAAACAGACUAAAUAAGCAGGUUAAACUGUUUCGCUUUAACGUUCUAUCAAGUUAGACUACGUCUCCUCAUUUACUUUUGAUCACCUGGAGUUCAAAGCAAUAAUUAAAGCAUGCUAA
Arvicanthis niloticus (Nile rat) is the source of this 1173-nucleotide long non-coding RNA. RefSeq lists it as uncharacterized. The record is from RefSeq and is a predicted model, not a curated record. NCBI's taxonomy places the organism in Eukaryota, Metazoa, Chordata, Mammalia, Rodentia, Muridae.